AAAUUUUGGAAUUGCAUAAAAAUUGAGAAUUUUGUUUCAAAUUUUUAAAUCAAUACACUUGAACAUAAUACAACACCACCUAACUAAAAAUUAAAAAUAAAAAAUUGGACAAUCACUACCUACAAAAAUUAUAUACAAAAAUGCCUCCAUACAAAAAUUUAAUCACCUCUUCCACAAAUAAUAUACAAAAUAAUAAUAAUAAUAAUAAUAAUAAUAAAAAUAGAAAUUAAUCAAUCACUACCUAUAAAAAAUUGAGUAGACAAUCCAAAUUGCACCAUGUAAUUUGCAAAUUGCAUCAUUCCUACCCCUCGGCCACCGCAGUUGAACCGGAUCCAUCAAUUCAAUUGCAACAGAAUAGAUCCAUUUGCUUAACCAUGCUUGCAACCAAUUACCCGAGUAGCUUUCUUGUUAGUUCUCCUUAUUAUUUUUUCUUACAAGCGAUUCUCAAAACUAUAGUCUGAUAAACAGGAUAUGAUAUAGAUGCGACAAUCAGACCUGUACAGUCCCUAUAUCUUGAGAACCAUGAAGAACGAACCCAAUUGUGAAGUUAGAAAUAAAUAUAAAAGGAAUUUUAGAAGUUAAAUGCACAAGUAACAUAAGCCAACAUCAACCUGGAAUUAUUGUUUGCUAAACGAACCCUAAAAUUUUUAUUUUUAUUUUUUUAUGCAGUAACGCAAAAGGCCAUGAGUAAAUGCUCACGAGAAAAGAGAAUGAAAAAAUGGCACAAAGGAAAAUAUAUUGCUCAUUGGUACACCAAAAAGAAGAGAAAGUUGGACAUUACAAACAUGACCAUCAGAAAAAAAUGAUUGGACAAUAAAUGAUUGGAAUUCAUAAUAAUUCUUGAACAUUUGAAAACAUUAAGCAAAACAGAGACUAAGACAAUGUAAACACUAUCAACAUUUUUGAAGAGCACAUCACAAUAACACAAAUUAAAUUACAUCACAUACAAUGAACAUGAAUGCCAAACAUGAUCAUCAAAAGCUACAAUUUUACAAGCAACUGCUAUAGGUAAAAGAAGAAGAAAGAAGCACUAGAAAAGGGAAAAUAGAAGAAUGUUUCAUCAAAAUAGAACUGACUAUUAUUGAGACUACUACUUCCUUUUCCAUCUAAGAUAAGCCAUCAAAAGAGUCACUCAUGCAAACCAGGAACAAUAAGAUAGAACAAGGGUAAGGUUCCAAUAUAUUCCAUCAAGAGGAAAGUUAACAUGGAGCAGUAGAUAGUUUCCCUGUGUGCCAGCACUUUUAAAUCCCUAACAUUUACUCUCUCUAAUAACAUUUACUCUCUCUAACAGAGACAUAUUUGAGUUCCUAAAACAAUCUUCUCUAAAUCAUUAAUAUAGUAAUUGACAAGUCAUAUGAUCGCUCCUACAACCAUGAAAAGUCAUAUGAUCGCUCCUUUCUCCAUGGGGAAACUAUUAUUAAGUACAUAUCAGAAGAAUGAAGGGUUUUACAAAACAGAGAAAUAGUAGUCCAAUGAUAAGCCAAAACAAGAUGUGAUACUUUGUGAUAUGUGUUGCAUAUAAAGUCCCAAAGUUACUGGUAUGAUCUCUAAGUAUGGUCUCAGAGGGAUAAUCCUAGUCUUUAGUGAAGAAGGUCCCCCCCCUCAAACUUCCAAUUCAAAUAUUAACUCUAGAAAGCCUAUGAUAAAAGUAUGAGUUUAAUGUUAGAAGCACAAGCCAUUCCACAAUACUCAAGCUCAAGCCUUCAACCUUCAUACUACGGAUGAAACACCAAAACCAACAUUAAAAUUAAAAUUUUAAUGAAAUCAUAUCUGGUUAGCUACACAACCAGCAAUCCGAUCGAUAUAGAUAAUAUUUUAUUUUGUAGUAACCAUAGCUAAAAAGCCAACACAGUCAGGUAAUUUGCCAACUCCUAGGCUAGAAUUCCUCGCUCAAAAUUUCCCGAACGGUGCCCCCGAUUUAUCAUCCGUUCAUCCUCAACACAAUUACAAAUUUGGGAUUUCAUGUCCAAAUAAAUAGUGCUCUUUCACAGCCAAUUCUAAGAAAUGCACAAAACAAAAACAGUAGUAAAAGCAUAUUUCCAAAGCUAACUCAAUUACAACAAAUAAAUUAUCGAUUAAUUGACAAAUCUUGUGAAAAAUUAGGAGCUAGAAAAAGAAAAUUUAAGAACCCAAAAACUUGCCCUUUUAAAUGGGAUUCACAGAAUGAAUAAGAAAAUUAAUUUUCAGAUAGAACUUGAGUGCGGUUUAGGAAUCAGAAUCAAGGGGCUUCACCUUCUUCUUCUUCUGUCGUCGAAUCAUUGGUGGAAAUAUAGACUCUAAGGACUGUUGUCAGCUGUCGCGUCUCGCGAAGUUCAAGGGCUCGAAGGUACUGCGUGACCUGCGUCUAGGGCUCGAACGUAGGAGGCCGGUGGUCAGUGGUAGAAGGCGGCGAGAUAGAGAGGAGAGACGAGCGGCGCUGAUCACGUGGGAACAAAACUCGUGGUUUGAGUAUUACCUUUCCCUAUUUUACUCUUAGUCUCAUCCAUUAAUGGCCAAAAAGAAAAGAUUUUUGCAACGUUUUAUAAAUGUUGCCAAAGACCGAUUUUUGGCAACGUUUAUAAAUGUUGCGAAAGAUAAAAUACAACUUUUUUGCAACAUUUAUAAAACGUUGCAAAAGACAGCUUUUGGCAAUG
RNAcentral lists this long non-coding RNA (2633 nucleotides) under Olea europaea (common olive). Its description in RNAcentral is "long non-coding RNA (OEUR_LNC006409)". Lineage: Eukaryota; Viridiplantae; Streptophyta; Magnoliopsida; Lamiales; Oleaceae. The record is from RNAcentral.